This is a long non-coding RNA of Bos indicus x Bos taurus (hybrid cattle), 1874 nucleotides long. Lineage: Eukaryota; Metazoa; Chordata; Mammalia; Artiodactyla; Bovidae. The record is from Ensembl.
ACUUUAAAUCGUACAGGGAACGGGCUCCCCAAGAAAGGGAACGUCUGAAAAGAUUUAAAGGAAGUACUCUUCAAGACAGAAGAGACAUGGAUAUUGUUUUAGGGCCCAGGAAGGAGACAGGAUUCACCUGAAGAGGCUGGGCCAGAGCAGUGAGCCGGCCAUGUGCUUCCAGGGACUGCAAGCAUUGACAUCACCUGCAGCAGCUGCUUGCCACUUUUUCCUUCUGUUGGGCACCAGGUUUCCACGUGCUGCUGGACCAUAGUUUGAGACUACACACCCCCAUCUGGACCCUAUUAAAAUGCAUCUCUUGACCAGUCACAGGAGGAGCCUGGGAGGGGGAGGAGAAGUCAAGGGAGAGGAGAAGUCAAGACAAGUUGACCUCAAAGGUACCACGGAAAAGUAAUGAUUAACACUGCUGCAGUCUGGGAACAGUUUAUUCAACUGCGGUGACGGAAACAAGGAGAAAGCCCUUCCUCAAACCCCUCGGCAAAAUCUGCUUUCCACUUCUGACUGAUGGUGGGAAGAAGAAAGACGCUGCAUUUGGAAGGACUGUCAGAAUCAAAUAUGUCUGAAAUCUUAAAUGCUUCUCAGUGUCUGUUUUGUGAUUUUUAAAAUUUUGUUUACAAAAGCUUUUCUCUUUCCUCCCCCUCUCUCCUUCUCUCUCCUUCCUCCCUUCCUUCCUUCCUUUCAGUGAAAAGAGGAAAGGAUAACAAAAUAUUGCUCAUUUGGGAAAGGUAACAAUAGAAAGCCAGCAAAAACUGCAUCUGGAUCCACCUUCCAAUGCAGGGGAUGUGGGUUCGAUCCCUGGUUGGGGACCUAAGAUCCCUCAUGCCACGGAGCACCUGAACCAGCACGCUGCAACCACGGAGACUGCAUGCCACAACUAGAGAGUCUGUGCGCAGCAAGGAGUAUCUCAAGGGCUGCAACUGAGAUCUGACACAGCCAAAUAAACAAAUAAAUAAUUAAAAAGAGAGAAGACUCUGCACCUGGGAGUAAGGGGAGAGCUUCCCCUUCCAUGACCGAGUGGAAGCCUAGAAUGUCAAAAUAAGGAGGGGCCUCAGGGAUCGUCCUGACUCAUCUUCUCAAAGAAGAUGGACCCAAAGGUUGAUCUCUCGCACAGGACUCUUCAUCACAGCACUGCCACUUCCUCUGCUCCAGGCUGGAAGCAGGCUGGGCAGAGCUUGUUAGGCAAUGUCAUGAGUUUUGCUGCAGCUCUCUCUGAAGCAGGGGUGACAUGACACGUUUGAACCUCUGAGCUAGAGCAUCCUCUGGAUCAUGCUGAGACUUGGUCAGCUUGGGCGGACAGGGUGGUUGAGAGUUUUGCACUCCAACUAUGUGCUGGGGUCUAAAAGUCCACUGUUUUAUGGAAGAGACUUGGAGACAGUAACUCAGGAGAAGAUCAAACAGAGAAGACUCCAGGGUUAUUCCAGGGUUAAACAAGACAGGAAGUGGAAAGGACCGCCAGGGAGGGCCUCAACCCAUGAUGCCUUCUACCAGGCUUCUUUAAGAACCAACCAGAAGAAAAACAUCUCAAGACAACCAGUAUCCUGUUCCAAAGAAUUAGAACAGAUCACCAGGAAUUUUGCACUUAAGAUCUUAUUUGUGGCAAAGAUUAGGAGAAAGCCAAAACAAAGCUCAACACCAACACCACCACCAUCAACAGAAGAAAUCUCCUGAGCCAUGCAGGCCCCAGCAGCAAGCCAAGGAAGGCAAACUGGGAUUGGGGGGCCAGAGGGUAACCCAGGAUGGUGGCUAGAUGGGGUGAGUGGCUUCAGCAGCCAGAGGUCUUCCCUUAGGCCUAGGAGGUGACACAAGCAAUUCUCCCAGGAUCACCUUGAUGAAGCAAUAAAUAAAGGUAACAAGGCGGAAGGUCA